Molecule: long non-coding RNA, 732 nt
Filed under: Salvia miltiorrhiza (redroot sage)
Lineage: Eukaryota; Viridiplantae; Streptophyta; Magnoliopsida; Lamiales; Lamiaceae
Description: long non-coding RNA (SMIL_LNC000978)
Source: RNAcentral
UCGAAAUUUUAUAGUGUCAUUUGAAAUCUCAUAGUGUCAUUUGAAGUUUUGUAGUGUCAUUUAUUUGUCGGAGUAGUGUCAUUUAGAAUCUUAUAGUGUCAUUUGAAAUCUUGUAGUACCAUUUAAAUUACACUUCUUAUAAUCGACACUAUAAGGUUGAAAUUGACACUAUAAUAUUGUAAUUGACACUAUAACAUUUUAAAUGAUACUAUUUGGAUAUAAAAAUGACACUGUAAUAAAGAAAAAAAGAAACAAAAACAAUAAAUUUGAAAGAAAAAAAAAGAAAUAAAACAGAAAAAAUUCGCAAAAAAAGAAAGAAAGAAAUAGAACAAAAAAAAAAAACAGAAAAUUUAGCAAAGAAAAAAGAAAUAAAAAACAAAUUUCCCACAAAAUGAUACUAUUUGGAUAUAAAAAUGACACUAUAAAAAAGAAAAAAGAAACAAAAACAAUAAAUUUGAAAGAGAAAGAAAGAAAUAGAACAAAAAAAACAAAAAAAAAUAGCAAUAAAAGAAACAAAUAAAAAGCAAAUUUCUCAAAAAAUGAUACUAUUUGGAUAUAAAAAUGACACUAUAAAAAAGAAAAAAGAAACAAAAACAAUAAAUUUGAAAACAAAAAUUUACAAAAAAAAAAGAAAUAAAACAACAAAUUUCGCAAAAAAAGAAGAAAGAAAUAGAACAAAAAAAAAACAGAAAAUUUAGGAAAAAAAAAUAAAUAAAAAGCAAAUUUCCCAAA